UACGUAGGGGGCAAGCGUUGUCCGGAUUUAUUGGGCGUAAAGAGCGUGUAGGCGGCCAGGUAGGUCUGCUGUGAAAACUCGAGGCUCAACCUCGAGAUGUCGGCGGAAACCAUCUGGCUAGAGUCCGGAAGAGGAGAGUGGAAUUCCUGGUGUAGCGGUGAAAUGCGCAGAUAUCAGGAAGAACACCUAUGGCGAAGGCAGCUCUCUGGGACGGUACUGACGCUGAGACGCGAAAGCGUGGGGAGCGAACAGG
RNAcentral lists this ribosomal RNA (253 nucleotides) under uncultured bacterium. Its description in RNAcentral is "partial 16S ribosomal RNA". It matches the Rfam family "Bacterial small subunit ribosomal RNA", at positions 524 to 776 of the family's 1533-position model. The record is from RNAcentral.